CCCUUAGAUGCUCUGGGCCGCACGCGCGCUACACUGGUCGACGCAACGAGUUUCUUUCCUUGGCCGACAGGCCUGGGCAAUCUUUGAACAUCGAUCGUGAUCGGGAUAGAUUCUUGUAAUUUUUGAUCUUAAACGAGGAAUUCCUAGUAAACGCAAGUCAUCAGCUUGCAUUGAUUACGUCCCUGCCCUUUGUACACACCGCCCGUCGCACCUACCGAUUGAAUGGUCCGGUGAAAUCUCCGGACUGGCGUGAGUCGGAGCAAUCUGACAAACACCGGAAAGUUGAUUAAACCUUACCAUUUAGAGGAAGGUGAAGUCGUAACA
Molecule: ribosomal RNA, 324 nt
Filed under: uncultured eukaryote
Lineage: Eukaryota
Description: partial 18S ribosomal RNA
Rfam family: Eukaryotic small subunit ribosomal RNA
Source: RNAcentral